Molecule: transfer RNA, 71 nt
Filed under: Rexea solandri (silver gemfish)
Lineage: Eukaryota; Metazoa; Chordata; Actinopteri; Scombriformes; Gempylidae
Also listed under: 1 other name
Description: tRNA-Pro
Rfam family: tRNA
About the family: Transfer RNA (tRNA) molecules are approximately 80 nucleotides in length. Their secondary structure includes four short double-helical elements and three loops (D, anti-codon, and T loops).
Source: RNAcentral
CAAAGAAUAGUUUAGUUUUAGAAUCCUAGCUUUGGGAGUUAGGGGUGGGAGUUAAAAUCUCCUUUCUUUGA